UUUCAUAAUAACUCGGCAAAUUACGGGAAAAUUCCUGUGAUGAUUCAAACGGAUUUCUGACCUAUCAACUUUAGAUGGCAAAGUAGGGGUUUGCCAUGGUGACAACGGGUGACGGGGAAUUAGGGUUCGAUUCCGGAGAGGGAGCCUGAGAAACGGCUACCACUUCCAAGGAAGGCAGCAGGCGCGCAAAUUACCCAAUGCUAAUUCGGCGAGGUAGUGACAAGAAAUACCAAUGUAGGACCCAACGGGUACUACGUUUGGAAUGAGAACAAUUUAAAAACCUUAACGAGGAACAAUUGGAGGGCAAGUCUGGUGCCAGCAGCCGCGGUAAUUCCAGCUCCAAUAGUGUAUAUUAAAGUUGCUGCGGUUAAAAAGCUCGUAGUUGGAUUACGAAGUGGUGUUUAAAUGUCAUUUUGGUUUGUUUGUCUUUCGGGGCAUUCAGGUUAACUUGGCUUUUACUCACUGUUGUCAUUGUCUUUGCCCGAGGUAUAUGCCUUGUGUGCAUGGCAUUGACCUUCUAUUUUAUGGUAAUGUUGUAUCUUUCGGGGUACAUUCAUUCCAUAUAGUUUACUUUGAAAAAAUUAGGGUGUUUAAAGCAGGCGAAAAGGCUUCGGAAUAUAUUAGCAUGGGAUAAUAGAAUACGAUCUAGGUCGUAAUUUGUUGGUUUCUACGGCUUAGGUAAUGAUUGACAGGGAUAGUUGGGGUCGCUCGUAUUGAGUUGUCAGAGGUGAAAUUCUAGGAUUAACUCAAGACGAACUAAUGCGAAAGCAUUCGGCAAGGAUGUUUUCAUUAAUCAAGAACGAAAGUUGGGGGAUCGAAGAUGAUCAGAUACCGUCGUAGUCUCAACUGUAAACUAUGUCGACCGAGGAUCCGGUAGCGUUACAUGGAUGACCUUCCGGGCACUCUGUGAGAAAUCAUAAGUAUUUGGAUUUCGGGGGGAGUAUGGUCGCAAGGCUGAAACUUAAAGGGAUUGACGGAAGGGCACCACCAGGAGUGGAAUCUGCGGCUUAAUUUGACCCAACACGGGAAAACUUACCAGGUCCGGACACAGUGAGGAUUGACAGAUUGAGAGCUCUUUCUUGAUUUUGUGGGUGGUGGUGCAUGGCCGUUUUUAGUUGGUGGAGUGAUUUGUCUGGUUAAUUCCGUUAACGAACGAGACCUUAACCUAUUAAAUAGCUGCGCGAACCCAGGUUCUUUAACCAUUCUCUCCUUCGGGGGGGCGG
This 1223-nucleotide ribosomal RNA is filed under the name metagenome. RNAcentral describes it as "SSU rRNA". It matches the Rfam family "Eukaryotic small subunit ribosomal RNA", at positions 249 to 1423 of the family's 1831-position model. The record is from RNAcentral.